This 57-nucleotide ribosomal RNA is filed under the name Aspergillus caninus. Its description in RNAcentral is "28S ribosomal RNA". The record is from RNAcentral. Lineage: Eukaryota; Fungi; Ascomycota; Eurotiomycetes; Eurotiales; Aspergillaceae.
UUGACCUCGGAUCAGGUAGGAUACCCGCUGAACUUAAGCAUAUCAAUAACGGAGGGA